AUGCUCUGCCUACAGUGUAGCCAUUCUUGAUCCCUUUACUUUCCUAAUAAACUUGUUUUCACUUUAUAAACUUGCCCUGAAUUCCUUCUUACAUGAGAUCCAAGAACCCUCUCCUGGGGUCUGGAUCAGGACCCGUUUCCAGUAACAUCUUUCUGGUGAAUCCCAGGUGGAUGAUACUGAAGAGACCCCCAACCCAAAGGAAAAUCAUCUGCAUGCACCAGUUGACUGACUUUGGGGCUAUGGGUGACAGGAUAAGGCAUGUACAGGACCACAGGACAUGGGGAGCUUUUUCCUCCCCCGAAAAAGGGAAACUUGAGAGCUGAUGGGACUGCCAGAAAACAUCCCUUCACUACCGACAAGUGGCCACCUGAACUUUUUAGUUUCACUGCAAUAGGAUACAACUGGAGAAACUGGUUAUUUUACCAAGGCUUUGACUGGAAUGGUGUGUUUACCUUUAAGGAAUCAAACUUGACUUAGAGAGCCAAGAAGAGCCCCUUGAAAAAAACUAGCCUCAUACCUUGUCUACACAGUCCCUGUACAGGGUUCCUGACCUGUGGUAAGUAAAGAAUGUCACCUUCUGAAAGGCCCAGGAGCCCCAAGUUAUUUUGGGACCUCAAGAGGAGAAGAAUUUACUCAACUCAUAGAUAUCUGGGGUACAAACCCAUGGCUAGGCUUGGCUUUAAAAAAAAGUCUUAUCUGAGAUUCCCUCUAUGGAACAAAAUUUCAUCAAAGACAAAUUUAAAAGCCUAUGUGAAAAAUAAUUAUUCUUGCUGCACUGUAUACAAAUAAUCAGGCCAAGUAUAAUAAAGCAAAUUAGUCUUACUAUGAUUUGUCUCCAGCAAAAAUGGGAAACUAGAGAACAAUUAUGUUUCAAGAACUGUGGUAUAACCUGUUAUUAAGUUCUAGUCUCAUCAGUUGAUUUUAAGGUUUUUUUCUGUAAUUUAGGCCAACCCUGUUUAUUCCUGUGAACCAACCAGUGAUCUCUUGACUGCUGCUCAGAAGAAACAACAGGGAUGGAUAUCAUCUUUUGUCAGAACUCGGAGUCAUGAACGGCCCUUGCCAUACCAAUGCUUUCUGACUGAGCUCCUCUCUAUCUACCCUGAAUGCAAGAGACCCAAUAGUUAGGCAGGAAUGGCAUUGCCCCUAUCAGCUUGAAGAAGUUACAGAAGAUGCAUCUUUAUCCCUCUGCAACCCUUAGGAUUAAGGGUUUUCUUAUAAAAGGGACGGGGGAAAUGUUAGAGGUGUUUGAACCAGAGCAACUCCAUCUUGAAUAGGGGCUGGGUAAAAUGAGGCUGAGACCUAUUGGGCUGCAUUCCCAGACGGUUAAGGCAUUCUGUGUCACAGGAUGAGUUAGGAGGUCAGCACAAGAUACAGGUCAUAAAGAUCUUGCUGAUAAACAGGAUGCAGUAAAGAAGCUGGCUAAAACCACCAAAACCAAGAUGGUGAUGAGAGUAAACUCUGAUCAUCCUCACUGCUACACUCCCACCAGUGCCAUGACAGUUUACAAAUGCCAUGGCAACGUCAGGAAGAUACCCUAUACGGUCUAAAAAGGAGAGGCAUGAAUAAUCCACCCAUUGUUUAGCAUAUCAUCAAGAAAUAACGAUAAAAAUGGGUAACCAGCAGCCCUCGAGGCUGCUCUGCCUAUGGAACACCCAU
This 1656-nucleotide long non-coding RNA is filed under the name Homo sapiens (human). RNAcentral's name for it is "HSALNT0311897". Lineage: Eukaryota; Metazoa; Chordata; Mammalia; Primates; Hominidae. The record is from RNAcentral.